CAGGCCUCAGGACAGUAGCGG
Molecule: unclassified non-coding RNA, 21 nt
Filed under: Mus musculus (house mouse)
Lineage: Eukaryota; Metazoa; Chordata; Mammalia; Rodentia; Muridae
Description: oocyte_clustered_small_RNA2407
Source: RNAcentral